Molecule: ribosomal RNA, 497 nt
Filed under: uncultured bacterium
Lineage: Bacteria
Description: partial 16S ribosomal RNA
Rfam family: Bacterial small subunit ribosomal RNA
Source: RNAcentral
GAUGAACGCUGGCGGCGUGCCUAAUACAUGCAAGUCGAGCGAACAGACGAGGAGCUUGCUCCUCUGACGUUAGCGGCGGACGGGUGAGUAACACGUGGGUAACCUACCUAUAAGACUGGGAUAACUUCGGGAAACCGGAGCUAAUACCGGAUAAUAUUUUGAACCGCAUGGUUCAAUAGUGAAAGAUGGCUUUGCUAUCACUUAUAGAUGGACCCGCGCCGGAUUAGCUAGUUGGUAAGGUAACGGCUUACCAAGGCAACGAUUCGUAGCCGACCUGAGAGGGUGAUCGGCCCACCUGGAACCGGAGCCCGGUCCAGACCCCUACGGGGGGGCGGCGUCGGGAAUCUUUCCCCAUGGGGCAAAACCCUACGGGAGCACCCCCGGUGGGGUAUUAAGGUUUUCGGAUCGUAAAACCCCUUUAUUUGGGAAGAACCAAUCGGUAAGUUACUGUUCCCCUCCUGACGGUACCUAAUCCGAAAGGCCCGGCUAACUACGUG